AGAGUUUGAUCCUGGCUCAGGAUGAACGCUAGCUACAGGCUUAACACAUGCAAGUCGAGGGGAAACGACAUCGAAAGCUUGCUUUUGAUGGGCGUCGACCGGCGCACGGGUGAGUGACGCGUAUCCAACCUGCCCACCACUUGGGGAUAACCUUGCGAAAGUAAGACUAAUACCCAAUGACGUCUCUAGAAGACAUCUGAAAGAGAUUAAAGAUUUAUCGGUGAUGGAUGGGGAUGCGUCUGAUUAGCUUGUUGGCGGGGUAACGGCCACCAAGGCGACGAUCAGUAGGGGUUCUGAGAGGAAGGUCCCCCANAUUGGAACUGAGACACGGUCCAAACUCCUACGGGAGGCAGC
RNAcentral lists this ribosomal RNA (354 nucleotides) under uncultured bacterium. RNAcentral's name for it is "bacterial SSU rRNA". It matches the Rfam family "Bacterial small subunit ribosomal RNA", at positions 8 to 352 of the family's 1533-position model. The record is from RNAcentral.